This 84-nucleotide transfer RNA is filed under the name Trametes cingulata. RNAcentral's name for it is "tRNA-Pro". It matches the Rfam family "tRNA". From Rfam's summary of the family: Transfer RNA (tRNA) molecules are approximately 80 nucleotides in length. Their secondary structure includes four short double-helical elements and three loops (D, anti-codon, and T loops). Lineage: Eukaryota; Fungi; Basidiomycota; Agaricomycetes; Polyporales; Polyporaceae. The record is from RNAcentral.
GGCCCAAUGGUCUAGUAGUAUGAUUCGCGCUUCGGGACUUAUCUAGUUUGCGCGAGGUCCCGGGUUCAAUUCCCGGUUGGGCCC